Long non-coding RNA from Pezoporus occidentalis (night parrot), 896 nucleotides. RefSeq lists it as uncharacterized. The record is from RefSeq and is a predicted model, not a curated record. Lineage: Eukaryota; Metazoa; Chordata; Aves; Psittaciformes; Psittacidae. The transcript is spliced from 2 exons.
CAAGCAGAAUGAGGCCCUGCUCACCUCUUUGCUGCUCCUCUUAAGCCUCUGGUCUGCCUAGAAAUAUGUAACAGGGUCAGUAUUGCUGACAGUAGACAUCAGUUCCUUGGUUCUUCAGAGCAGCUGUGUCACAGCCUGAUGCACUUCAGCUGGGAGACAACCUUAGAUUAGUUAAACACUGCACUCUUCCAAGGAGAUUUUGGUCUUUAUCUAGCAUUAAAUAGAUGUUCAGUAGCCAUUAAGGAAAUGCUGGUUUGCUCUUUAUGGGGGCUGUAGCCCAAAGGUAAGACAGAAGAGAACUCAACAGAAAGAUCAACCCCCUGAGCUCUGCUGCUCUUUGUUCUGUACAGGGGGGAGGUAAAUAAGUAAGUUCCCUAUGACCGAGGUUCCAGCUUUACCACCUGGCCGGGUUCUGGAAAAGAACCUUCUCCAUAAAGGAGAAGCCUGAACAGGGCAGUGCUGUAAACCUGCAGAGCUUUAGCAGGGGUACGGAGAAACCUAUUGGUGUACAGUUGUCUGUGACACUCACAUGUGGCAAAGAGGGGUUUGUGCUCUGAGAAUGAGCUGCUGUAAAGCUUCCUCUUUGCCAGCGGUGUUUCCCGUACUUUGUUGUGCUUGGGCCACUUGUGGAUGUUCUUCUAGGAAACCCAUGAAGCCAGGGCUGUGAAUGGAGUUUUCCUUUGCUACCCCCACCUCAUCCUGAUGAAAUCCAAGGAGAUUAAAGGUAAAUAUCAGCACUUGCAGCAUGUGAGGCUUCCUCUGAGCCCUGUUUACCCCUGCAGAGAGUUAGAGGUGGAGUGCAGAAGCCAACUCCUGCAGGCUGGGAGCUGCUGCUCAUUCCUAGCACAAAACCAGCCCACAGUCAGGCUCAGUUUGAAUAAAACAGAUCUAUUUCA